Molecule: ribosomal RNA, 881 nt
Filed under: Bacillus sp. (in: firmicutes)
Lineage: Bacteria; Bacillati; Bacillota; Bacilli; Caryophanales; Bacillaceae
Description: bacterial SSU rRNA
Rfam family: Bacterial small subunit ribosomal RNA
Source: RNAcentral
GAUAAGAGCUUGCUCUUAUGAAGUUAGCGGCGGACGGGUGAGUAACACGUGGGUAACCUGCCCAUAAGACUGGGAUAACUCCGGGAAACCGGGGCUAAUACCGGAUAACAUUUUGAACCGCAUGGUUCGAAAUUGAAAGGCGGCUUCGGCUGUCACUUAUGGAUGGACCCGCGUCGCAUUAGCUAGUUGGUGAGGUAACGGCUCACCAAGGCAACGAUGCGUAGCCGACCUGAGAGGGUGAUCGGCCACACUGGGACUGAGACACGGCCCAGACUCCUACGGGAGGCAGCAGUAGGGAAUCUUCCGCAAUGGACGAAAGUCUGACGGAGCAACGCCGCGUGAGUGAUGAAGGCUUUCGGGUCGUAAAACUCUGUUGUUAGGGAAGAACAAGUGCUAGUUGAAUAAGCUGGCACCUUGACGGUACCUAACCAGAAAGCCACGGCUAACUACGUGCCAGCAGCCGCGGUAAUACGUAGGUGGCAAGCGUUAUCCGGAAUUAUUGGGCGUAAAGCGCGCGCAGGUGGUUUCUUAAGUCUGAUGUGAAAGCCCACGGCUCAACCGUGGAGGGUCAUUGGAAACUGGGAGACUUGAGUGCAGAAGAGGAAAGUGGAAUUCCAUGUGUAGCGGUGAAAUGCGUAGAGAUAUGGAGGAACACCAGUGGCGAAGGCGACUUUCUGGUCUGUAACUGACACUGAGGCGCGAAAGCGUGGGGAGCAACAGGAUUAGAUACCCUGGUAGUCCACGCCGUAAACGAUGAGUGCUAACUGUUAGAGGGUCUCCGCCCUUUAGUGCUGAAGUUAACGCAUUAAGCACUCCGCCUGGGGAGUACGGCCGCAAGGCUGAAACUCAAAGGAAUUGACGGGGGGCCCGCACAAGCGGUG